This 675-nucleotide long non-coding RNA is filed under the name Cyanistes caeruleus (blue tit). RNAcentral describes it as "lncRNA (ENSCCEG00000020003.1)". The record is from RNAcentral. Lineage: Eukaryota; Metazoa; Chordata; Aves; Passeriformes; Paridae.
GAAUUAAUAUUUUUCAACCUUCCCAUUGUCUCUGAGCAGACCAGCUGUGGGUGCUGGACUGGUCUUGAACCUGCUGGUUGCAACCUGAAGAAUUUCCUCUCUUUGUUGGUCCCUGAAUUUAAUAUCACUGUUGCAGAAAUGGACUCUCUAAACCACAAUUGACUGCAACUGGACUUUUUCAUAUAACUGAGAUGCUAAUGGUAAUUUUUUAUUUUGGCUUUGACAGAGCAAAUUUUUGAUUAUCAAUCAAACUCUGACUCUUGAAGGAAAAGAAGCAAAAUUAUAUCAUCCACAGGACCCGUCUCGUGCAGCUCAGUUUCUGAGCAGCCUUAUGCAGGUUUGUUUUGGACUGCUAUCUCCUCCUGCAAGCAAAACAGCAAUUUCUACUCAAUCCUGCGUGAAGGAGAUGUGUCCAGCAGUUCUCUCUUGCUCCCCAGGGGAAUAAAGAUCUAUCUCCUGCAUUAUUGGCUUUUCUUGUUCGUUGUUUUUUAUUUUCUUGCUUCGGUUUCCAAAACCACUGAAUUCACAGCAUGUUCAGCUAACAGAAAAAUAACCCAAGUGCUGUGCUUUGAACACAUAAUGGAUCUCCUAAAGAACAUGAAACCACCAAUGUCCACUGGAAGUUCUUGUCUACAUGAGGUGAACAUGCAGAAAGGGAAAAUGCUGACUCUGUAA